Molecule: transfer RNA, 87 nt
Filed under: Neoluteolibacter flavescens
Lineage: Bacteria; Pseudomonadati; Verrucomicrobiota; Verrucomicrobiia; Verrucomicrobiales; Verrucomicrobiaceae
Also listed under: 8 other names
Description: tRNA-Ser
Rfam family: tRNA
About the family: Transfer RNA (tRNA) molecules are approximately 80 nucleotides in length. Their secondary structure includes four short double-helical elements and three loops (D, anti-codon, and T loops).
Source: RNAcentral
GGGCAGGUGUCAGAGUGGUCGAAUGAGCACGCUUGGAAAGCGUGUGUGCUAGCAAUAGUACCGAGGGUUCGAAUCCCUCCCUGUCCG